This is a non-coding RNA of Vicia faba (fava bean), 207 nucleotides long. Lineage: Eukaryota; Viridiplantae; Streptophyta; Magnoliopsida; Fabales; Fabaceae. The record is from the annotation of a GenBank genome assembly.
AUGGAAACCACCGCCAGUGGGUGCGGGAUCAUUGAGCAGCGGCAUAGUCGUUUUGUGAUCGGAAGUCAGGGCGUGUCAUCAACGGAGUUGGUCGUGUCCGUGGAGUUCGUGGUUGUUGUCGUUGAUUUGGUCGUGGCCGUAUCUAGAAUCUGUGGUCACAGCGUGGGCUUGCAGAAUUGUUGCAGUGAGUUUGUAAUGCAAUUUUGA